Molecule: long non-coding RNA, 1093 nt
Filed under: Numida meleagris (helmeted guineafowl)
Lineage: Eukaryota; Metazoa; Chordata; Aves; Galliformes; Numididae
Description: lncRNA (ENSNMEG00000015823.1)
Source: RNAcentral
AAUUCAUCAGUGUCUUUCCCAGAGCUUUCCUGCUGCUGCCUUUGGGAUUUUCCUCCGAGCUUUGAGGAUUUCCUAUAGCACAAAGAGCUGAAGCCAUCUGUGCUGUACCCUAUGACAACCGAUGGUACAGACACAGGAGUGAAACUUGAGAAUAACACAAAUUCAACUACUUUUUUUUUAUUAUUAUUUCAGGUCAUGGAGGCUUCUGGCUCUGAAUUUAAAGCUGAAGACAAUCAAGAUCUUGGUGACAGAUGGUAUUUAUCAAAGGGCCACCUGGGAGCUGGCUGGUUGCUGCGCUGCAGGGUGCCUGGGUGGUCACACGAGCAUCUCUGUGAGGAGCCCCUUGGAGCCUGCAGAAUGGGAAGCUUUCCAGGGAUCAGACUGGGAUGUGACUGAGAAAUCAGACUUUGUACUUUCUUAGGCGCUUCUAGUGGGGUAAGCUGCCCGUGGCUCCCCUUGCUCAGAUGAAGACGCUGCUGUCUCCUCGUGCUGGUGCAGCUCCCAGCCCAGGUAACUCCCCAUGGAGGACUUGCACUUUGUUGAGGCUUAGGCUGAGCAUCGUGGUUAAACAUGAGAAAUGCAUUCAGAGCAGUGUGAACAUGCUGGCAUCUUUAUUAGUGUGAAGCAAAGAAGAUGGGGAGGUGCUGCGAGAAGGGUCCCGAAGACCUCUCCUUUCUGUGGGGUAGGAGAACCCCUAAAUGUAGGAUGUGUUUGGUUGUAGGGAGCUGGACUUGGGGGCUGAUUUGGUCACUAAGAAUACUGCCCAAUUUCAUAUUAUUGAUUAAUGAGGACUCAUUUGAUAGCAUUAGGCAGCUCUUUACUUAUUAAAGGUGAAAGCUCGCUGCCUCUAGCACUGAUGUGCACCCUUCCCUGCUCACUGUGUGCCAGGCUCUGCAAUGUCGUACCCUACAUCCCAUGGCUGGUGCCAUGGCUGGUGAUGGGCUGAGUUAGCUGAUGCUGUGAGGGUGCAAAACCAAGAGGAGAAAAACAACAAGCCCAGAAGGCUCCUUCCUUCACCCAGUAAGCUGUUUCCCUGGCAACACUGAGUUCUCACAGUGCAACAGCUCUGGGAUCACCCUUCCCAGAGAUACCC